CCGAUAGCGUAUAUUAAAGUUGUUGCAGUUAAAAAGCUCGUAGUUGAAUUUCGGGAUUUGUCAGUUGGUCGGGCUUCACUGUCCGUACUGACUUGAUGGAUUCUUACCUUCUGAAUAACCAGCAUGCUAUUAAGUUAGUGCGUUGGGGAAGCAGAUCUAUUACCUUGAAAAAAUUAGAGUGCUUAAAGCGGGCUAGUGCUUGAAUAGAUUAGCAUGGAAUAAUAAAAUAGGACGGCAUGGUUCUAUUUUGUUGGUUUCUAGGAUCACCGUAAUGAUUAAUAGGGAUAGUUGGGGGCAUUAGUAUUCAAUUGUCAGAGGUGAAAUUCUUGGAUUUAUUGAAGACUAACUUCUGCGAAAGCAUUUGCCAAGGAUGUUUUUAUUAAUCAAGAACGAAAGUUAGGGGAUCGAAGACGAUCAGAUACCGUCGUAGUCUUAACCAUAAACUAUGCCGACUAGGAAUCGGACGAAGUUAAUUUUAUAAUGACUCGUUCGGCACCUUACG
RNAcentral lists this ribosomal RNA (502 nucleotides) under uncultured Glomeromycotina. Its description in RNAcentral is "partial small subunit ribosomal RNA". It matches the Rfam family "Eukaryotic small subunit ribosomal RNA", at positions 591 to 1092 of the family's 1831-position model. The record is from RNAcentral. Lineage: Eukaryota; Fungi; Glomeromycota.